AUUGAACGCUGGCGGAAUGCUUUACACAUGCAAGUCGAACGGUAGAGGGGGCAACCCCUCGAGAGUGGCGAACGGGUGAGUAAUAUAUCGGAACGUGCCCAGUCGUGGGGGAUAACGUAGCGAAAGUUACGCUAAUACCGCAUACGAUCUAAGGAUGAAAGCGGGGGAUCGCAAGACCUCGCGCGAUUGGAGCGGCCGAUGUCAGAUUAGGUAGUUGGGGGGGGAAAGGCUCACCAAGCCAACGAUCUGCAGCGGGGCUGAGAGGACGACCAGCCACACUGGAACUGAGACACGGUACAGACUCCUACGGGAGGCAGCAGUGGGGAAUUUUGGACAAUGGACGCAAGUCUGAUCCAGCCAUUCCGCGUGCAGGAUGAAGGCCCUCGGGUUGUAAACUGCUUUUGUACGGAACGAAAAGGUCUCUCUUAAUACGGGGGGCUCAUGACGGUACCGUAAGAAUAAGCACCGGCUAACUACGUGCCAGCCGCCGCGGUAA
RNAcentral lists this ribosomal RNA (496 nucleotides) under uncultured bacterium. RNAcentral's name for it is "partial 16S ribosomal RNA". It matches the Rfam family "Bacterial small subunit ribosomal RNA", at positions 30 to 523 of the family's 1533-position model. The record is from RNAcentral.